RNAcentral lists this ribosomal RNA (482 nucleotides) under uncultured bacterium. RNAcentral's name for it is "partial 16S ribosomal RNA". It matches the Rfam family "Bacterial small subunit ribosomal RNA", at positions 28 to 523 of the family's 1533-position model. The record is from RNAcentral.
GACGAACGCUGGAGGCGUGCUUAACACAUGCAAGUCGAACGAUGAAAUGGAGCUUGCUCCAUGGUUUAGUGGCGAACGGGUGAGUAACACGUGAAUAACCUGCCCUUAAUUUUGGAAUAACCCAGGGAAACCUGGGCUAAUACCGGAUAAGUAAACCUGUGGCAUCACAUGGUUUUGGAAAGUUUUUCGAUUAAGGAUGGAUUCGCGGCCUAUCAGCUUGUUGGUGAGGUAAUGGCUCACCAAGGCGACGACGGGUAGCCGGCCUGAGAGGGGGAAGGGCCACACGGGGACGGAGAACCGGCCCAGACGCCUGCGGGAGGCAGCAAGGGGGAAUAUUGCGCAAGGAGCGAAAGUCUGACGCAGCGACGCCUCGUGGGGGACGAAGGUCUUCGGAUUGUAACCCUCUUUCAGCAGGGACGAAGCGAAAGUGACGGUACCUGCAGAAGAAGCACCGGCUAACUAUGUGCCAGCAGCCGCCGCGG